GUAAGUGUGUGGUUUUGUUUUAUUUCUCACGUAAAACUUCACAUUGUUUUCUUAUUGUCUGUUUCUUUUACCUUCCUUUUUGAUGUGUUACACAGGUGUCGUGGUUUAACCCGGCCGGCAGCUAAACACCACGCAGCCGUUUGCUCACCCUCCCCCCUCCCUUUCUGGGACGGGGGAGAGAAAUGGAAAGUGAAGCCUGCUGGAAGGAUUAUCCUGUUGCAUUGUAAACAACCACUAAACCUUCUAAAGAGAUUUCUCAUCUGCACUGUUUUGCUGGUGAGUUGCUUGAAGCCUGAUGCUAUAAAGAUAAUAGAAUUAGCAGACCUAGCAGGCCUCAUUAUUUUUAAUUACUAUUACUGCUGCUCACACACUACAUGUAAUUUGGUAAUGCUGGAGUGGGGUGAGGGGAGGGAACCAAUUCUGUAUUUCAGAAUGGUCCAUCAUAGAAGUGUUUGUUGUCAAAUCCUUCUGUAAAUUAUGUGUUUCUUUCAGAUUUAUCUUCUAAAUAAUAUUCUGAUCAAAUCUCAGAAACUCAACCUAACAGUAAGAAAAGGGAAUGCAGACCAUAAAUAGGUCAAAAUCAAAGUACCUUCAGCUCACAGUUUGGUUCAUUUAUCAAAGCAAAAUCAAUUGUUAUUAUUAGCCUAUUAUCAUCAUCCUUCCAGUGAGCUGGCUUCAUUUUAAUCAAUAUUUCUAAUUAGUCUACAUCAAAUACAGUUUUUUUAGUCUACAUCAAAUACAGUUUUAAACUGUAGCAACUCAGCUCAGUGUAGGCUAAAUAUAUAUGUGUGUUUCUGUGUCUCUUCUUUCCAUUAUUCCAUUAUUCUUUACAAAUAAGUAAUAAGCAGCCACGUGAAAAACAUAUUUGUAACAGUUAUGCAUCAGAGUCAAUAAUAGAUUACGUACUGUGUUAAAAUGCUGUUUGUCUUUCAUUUGUAUGAAUUAUAUGCUUUAAACAGUGCAUCAUGUAAUAAGUUACUCAUCAUUAAAUAACUUCAAAUAAUCAUCACUGAAGUUUCCGUCACAGCAAAGAGAAACUGAGGAUCAGUGCUCUGUGCCAUGGUUUCUACUGGCUAAUUUUGACUUGUAAAAUAAAUGUUCAUGGAAAUGGCUUCAAGUCCCCCUUAUCCCAUUCCUUUUCAUCCCAGAAGUAUUUUGGCUCUUCCAUGGUUUGUCUGAUAGCUCCCUAAAUUUAUAUGUAUUAUAUAUUCUUUCUGAUUUUCCCCUAUUAAAUUAGUAUUGCUACUUUAUACAUGCAGUGCUAAAAGCAAAGUAGAAUUAAUCCAUACUGGUUCUGUCUCGCUCUCAUGUCUUGCACUGGCCCAAGCAGGGAUUUCAUGUUUUUUAAAGAGAACAACGAAAAAGCACCUGUUUACAUUAUUAUUAUUAUUAUUAUUAUUAUUAUUAUUUAAUUUUGGCUGCCUAUUAGAAGGCUACACAGAUGGUCCACUUCUUCCUUCCCCUUAGUAGAAAUACAGCAACUGCUAUGGAUAAGAACAAUUGUUCUGCUUUCUUUCAGGGAUUUAGACACUAGUUAUUCAUGCAGUAACAGUUUCCAUAAGUUAUACUUUCCAGGUGGACAACAUGGUUCUAGUUCAAGCGUUCAUAACUCGGGAGUCUUUAGCAUCUCAAUGUAUGUUCUAAUUUAUGAAAGUAAGAGGAGGCUUAUGUAAGCUGCUUUUCCUAAACACAAAUAAAUUGAUGUGUGUUUCUAUAUAUACACAUCAGAAGCCUUUCUUUGGAGGUCAAUGGAAAGAGCAGAUUAUUGAGAGAAGUCCAGUUCUGUUGCUGAUAUACGGAAGUUGCUCUGCCCAGUGAGGUCAGCAAGGGCACAAUAUGUACUGCAUCUUUGCAAAUAAUUUUGUCAUAGUUUAGUUCAUGUGACUCUAGGCCUGCAUUUUCUAUUUAAAAAUUAUACUAAUCCUUAAUCUUUUUACUUAUGUAUCUCAUCCAGUCAUCCAAACUAUUCUCUUAACAGUGGAUGUGUGAACCCAGAACAACCAGCCUUUCCUUGACUCUGGUGUCAACUACACGUGUGCACUGUUGUUUAAACAUGCAGUUUCUGUGUUUCUCACUCUGACAGGCUGCUUUGUCUGUUUUAACUCCUGUGCUUCCUCUAUUGUAUAUUCUGAAGUCAGCUACAGUUUUCAGUAAUACUUCUA
This 2162-nucleotide long non-coding RNA is filed under the name Cairina moschata (Muscovy duck). Its description in RNAcentral is "domestica (muscovy Duck (domestic type)) lncRNA (ENSCMMG00000015003.1)". Lineage: Eukaryota; Metazoa; Chordata; Aves; Anseriformes; Anatidae. The record is from RNAcentral.